Molecule: ribosomal RNA, 393 nt
Filed under: uncultured bacterium
Lineage: Bacteria
Description: partial 16S ribosomal RNA
Rfam family: Bacterial small subunit ribosomal RNA
Source: RNAcentral
CCUACGGGAGGCAGCAGUGGGGAAUUUUGGACAAUGGGCGCAAGCCUGAUCCAGCUAUUCCGCGUGUGGGAUGACGGCCUUCGGGUUUUAAACCACUUUUGUGGAGAACGUAAAGUCUGUUGAUAAUACCUAUAGAUGAUUGUGGUACUCUAAGAAUAACCACCGGCUAACUACGUGCCAGCAGCCGCGGUAAUACGUAGGGUGCCGUCGUUAAUCGGAAUUACUGGGCGUAAAGGGUGUGCAGGCGGUUUUGCAAGAUUGAUGUGAAAGCCCCGGGCUUAACCUGGGAAAGCCAUACAUGACUGCAAGACUAGAGUGCGUCAGAGGGGGGUGGAAUUCCAAGUGUAGCAGUGAAAUGCGUAGAUAUUUGGAAGAACACCGAUGGCGAAGGCA